RNAcentral lists this ribosomal RNA (253 nucleotides) under uncultured bacterium. Its description in RNAcentral is "partial 16S ribosomal RNA". It matches the Rfam family "Bacterial small subunit ribosomal RNA", at positions 524 to 776 of the family's 1533-position model. The record is from RNAcentral.
UACGUAGGGUGCAAGCGUUGUCCGGAAUUAUUGGGCGUAAAGGGCUCGUAGGCGGUCCGUCACGUCGGGAGUGAAAACUUGGGGCUUAACCCUGAGCUUGCAGUGGGUACGGGCAGACUAGAGUGCGGUAGGGGAGACUGGAAUUCCUGGUGUAGCGGUGAAAUGCGCAGAUAUCAGGAGGAACACCGGUGGCGAAGGCGGGUCUCUGGGCCGUAACUGACGCUGAGGAGCGAAAGCAUGGGGAGCGAACAGG